RNAcentral lists this long non-coding RNA (492 nucleotides) under Olea europaea (common olive). RNAcentral's name for it is "long non-coding RNA (OEUR_LNC012547)". Lineage: Eukaryota; Viridiplantae; Streptophyta; Magnoliopsida; Lamiales; Oleaceae. The record is from RNAcentral.
CAGAUUGAACAGCAAAGAAAUCCAUGAGAAAAAACCCAUAAAUUGCUCUAAUAAUCAACACUGCUUGAUUAUCCCUAGCGUGUGAGUUUUUAACUAGGGUAUGGGUGUCUUGUAAACUGUAAUUUUGACUUGGAACCCAGAAACGGUUUUGUCGCUUAGUGAACACUAAACUACAAAACCCUAUUAAAAACUUCCCAUUUCUUACAUGGAGACGCCAUUUGUGGUUGACAGAAAGUAUUCUCGGACCAAUCAACCCAGUGAUCGAGACAUAGCUUUCCAUAUAUUGAUAUUUAUUUAUAAUCAUUUUCGUAUUUCAUUUCAGCUCCUGUUAUCAUAAUCACUUAUUGAUGUGCAUAGUUCUGAUUUUUGAAGAAUAGAGGAGCCGGGAUCAUCCCCGCGGGCUAUAGCAAUUUUUUCAAAGGAAAAUUGUACAGUUCUCCUAUUCUUUUUAAAAUGUACACCAAUCUUUUUGUAGGUAAUUUUAAAUUUGAU